CCCCAGCCCCUCCUCCCUCAGACCCAGGACUCCAGGCCCCCAGCCCCUCCUCCCUCAGACCCAGGAUGCCACGCCCUCUCCACCUUUGGGACUCAGACUUCCAGGACUCAGAUAUCUGCUCCCCAACUUCUCUCCUCCACACACAACCACCUCUCUAUUUCCCCAGGAUGUUCUUUCGAUGGUACUUCAGUGGCAACUAACAAAGGUAUCUUUCUGUUCCCUAUCCUGUUUCCAUCCCUAAAAUAAAGAAUAUAUUUGAACGCUA
This is a long non-coding RNA of Myotis brandtii (Brandt's bat), 265 nucleotides long. RefSeq lists it as uncharacterized. The record is from RefSeq and is a predicted model, not a curated record. Lineage: Eukaryota; Metazoa; Chordata; Mammalia; Chiroptera; Vespertilionidae. The transcript has 2 exons.